UAGGGAAUCUUCGGCAAUGGACGAAAGUCUGACCGAGCAACGCCGCGUGAGUGAAGAAGGUUUUCGGAUCGUAAAACUCUGUUGUUAGAGAAGAACAAGGACGUUAGUAACUGAACGUCCCCUGACGGUAUCUAACCAGAAAGCCACGGCUAACUACGUGCCAGCAGCCGCGGUAAUACGUAGGUGGCAAGCGUUGUCCGGAUUUAUUGGGCGUAAAGCGAGCGCAGGCGGUUUCUUAAGUCUGAUGUGAAAGCCCCCGGCUCAACCGGGGAGGGUCAUUGGAAACUGGGAGACUUGAGUGCAGAAGAGGAGAGUGGAAUUCCAUGUGUAGCGGUGAAAUGCGUAGAUAUAUGGAGGAACACCAGUGGCGAAGGCGGCUCUCUGGUCUGUAACUGACGCUGAGGCUCGAAAGCGUGGGGAGCAAACA
This 427-nucleotide ribosomal RNA is filed under the name Gemmatimonadota bacterium. RNAcentral describes it as "Gemmatimonadetes bacterium partial 16S ribosomal RNA". It matches the Rfam family "Bacterial small subunit ribosomal RNA", at positions 355 to 774 of the family's 1533-position model. The record is from RNAcentral. Lineage: Bacteria; Pseudomonadati; Gemmatimonadota. RNAcentral also lists the same sequence under 4 other names.